Non-coding RNA from Mycena amicta, 91 nucleotides. NCBI's taxonomy places the organism in Eukaryota, Fungi, Basidiomycota, Agaricomycetes, Agaricales, Mycenaceae. The record is from the annotation of a GenBank genome assembly.
CGCUCCUUAGCUCAGCUGGGAGAGCAACAGACUGAAGCAAAUCCUCUUCAGGACAAUCUGGAGGUCCCGUGUUCAAUCCACGGAGGGGCCA